AGAACGAACGCUGGCGGCAUGCCUAAUACAUGCAAGUCGAACGAACACUUCGGUGUUAGUGGCGCACGGGUGCGUAACGCGUGGGAAUCUGCCCUUGGGUUCGGAAUAACAGUUGGAAACGACUGCUAAUACCGGAUGAUAUCGAAAGAUCAAAGAUUUAUCGCCCAGGGAUGAGCCCGCGUAGGAUUAGCUAGUUGGUGAGGUAAAGGCUCACCAAGGCGACGAUCCUUAGCUGGUCUGAGAGGAUGAUCAGCCACACUGGGACUGAGACACGGCCCAGGCUCCUACGGGAGGCAGCAGUGGGGAAUAUUGGACAAUGGGCGAAAGCCUGAUCCAGCCAUGCCGCGUGUGUGAAGAAGGUCUUCGGAUUGUAAAGCA
This 378-nucleotide ribosomal RNA is filed under the name uncultured soil bacterium. Its description in RNAcentral is "bacterial SSU rRNA". It matches the Rfam family "Bacterial small subunit ribosomal RNA", at positions 26 to 432 of the family's 1533-position model. The record is from RNAcentral.